UAGGGAAUCUUGCGCAAUGGGCGAAAGCCUGACGCAGCCAUGCCGCGUGAAUGAUGAAGGUCUUAGGAUUGUAAAAUUCUUUCACCGGGGAAGAUAAUGACGGUACCCGGAGAGGAAGCCCCGGCUAACUUCGUGCCAGCAGCCGCGGUAAUACGAAGGGGGCUAGCGUUGCUCGGAAUUACUGGGCGUAAAGGGCGCGUAGGCGGAUAUUUAAGUUGGGGGUGAAAGCCCGGGGCUCAACCUCGGAAUAGCCUUCAAUACUGGAUAUCUUGAGUUCGGGAGAGGUGAGUGGAAUGCCGAGUGUAGAGGUGAAAUUCGUAGAUAUUCGGCGGAACACCAGUGGCGAAGGCGACUCACUGGCCCGAUACUGACGCUGAGGCGCGAAAGCGUGGGGAGCAAACAGGAUUAGAUACCCUGGUAGUCCACGCCGUAAACGAUGAGUGCUAGUUGUCGGCAUGCAUGCAUGUCGGUGACGCAGCUAACGCAUUAAGCACUCCGCCUGGGGAGUCGGUCGCAAGAUUAAAAACUUAAAGGAAUUGACGGGGGUCAUAGCUGUUUCCUG
Molecule: ribosomal RNA, 562 nt
Filed under: uncultured bacterium
Lineage: Bacteria
Description: partial 16S ribosomal RNA
Rfam family: Bacterial small subunit ribosomal RNA
Source: RNAcentral